CGUCUCCUCUUUCCUCCCGUUCAACCGCAGAUACACAGAAACCUCCCUCUCCUCUCCCUCUGCAACCCCGAGCUAGCUCCUGAAUUCGAUCUCCUCAUCCGCGCGCACCGCACCGGGGAACCCACCGACCUCAUCGGACAACGUCCAUCUGCGCCGUGCAACGACGUGCUCAUUCUACAUAAUGGCGCUACCGCCGACGACCCCAACUCCGACUCCGAGCUACAACCAUAUUCUUGUUAUCAUUGUCGAAUCUGACGGAAGCAUCAGGAUCAUCCGUAUUCAAAGCGAGGCCACCCAAUAGCAGCAGGUAUGGAACCUUUCUAUGCGGCGCUGCUACACAAACUUGCAUCAGAAACCAAUAUAGUGUCAUACGUGGCAGCCCCGCAGCGACCGUGGGCAACCGGAGGACCAUCCACCUAAAAUCCAUGCCCAAGACCAAGACCAAGGCCAACAUCGCUCGUGCGCAAGAAAUUGACUUGUAAAACACCAACUUCUUCUGAAAGCCAUCAGUUUAUGAAGCCAUGUAUACUUGCA
Triticum dicoccoides is the source of this 534-nucleotide long non-coding RNA. RefSeq lists it as uncharacterized. The record is from RefSeq and is a predicted model, not a curated record. The transcript has 3 exons. NCBI's taxonomy places the organism in Eukaryota, Viridiplantae, Streptophyta, Magnoliopsida, Poales, Poaceae.